AUUGAACGCUGGCGGCAGGCCUAAUACAUGCCAGUCGAGCGAGCGGCGGACGGGUGCGUAAUGCCUGGGCAUUGCCCAGUCCACGGGGAUAACAGUUGGAAACGACUGAUAACUCCGCAUAUGAUUGGAUUGCCCAGGUGGGAUUAGCUAGUCGGUGAGGUAAUGGCUCACCAAGGCGACGAUCCCUAGCUGGUCUGAGAGGAUGAUCGGCCAAACUGGAACUGAGACACGGUCCAGACUCCUACGGGAGGCAGCAGUGGGGAAUAUUGCGCAAGGGGGGAAACCCUGAUGCAGCAAUGCCGCGUGUGUGAAGAAGGCAGUCGGGUAGUAAAGCACUUUCAGCGAGGAGGCGUUACUCGCAGAAGAAGCACCGGCUAACUCCGUGCCAGCAGCCGCGGUAAUUC
Molecule: ribosomal RNA, 404 nt
Filed under: uncultured bacterium
Lineage: Bacteria
Description: partial 16S ribosomal RNA
Rfam family: Bacterial small subunit ribosomal RNA
Source: RNAcentral